GACCUGGUAGCGUAAAGGUAACGCGGUUGCACUACAUUACUAAUGUGCAGCGCCGAUCCUCGUUCGACUCGAGGUCAGGUCA
This 82-nucleotide transfer RNA is filed under the name Laccaria bicolor S238N-H82. RNAcentral's name for it is "tRNA-Ser (ACT) (tRNA-Ser-ACT-2-1)". The record is from RNAcentral. Lineage: Eukaryota; Fungi; Basidiomycota; Agaricomycetes; Agaricales; Hydnangiaceae.